This is a non-coding RNA of Vigna umbellata (rice bean), 2269 nucleotides long. The record is from RefSeq and is a predicted model, not a curated record. NCBI's taxonomy places the organism in Eukaryota, Viridiplantae, Streptophyta, Magnoliopsida, Fabales, Fabaceae.
UUGUUUUUUAUGUCCCUUAACGUCACUUGUGAUAUUUCUUUUAGGUUUUUGCGAGAACGGUCAUCUGCAAAAAUCUGGAUGUGGCUUCAAGGGUUGCUCGUACUGAUGCUCUGGACUGCAUCACACUGGAUGGUGAUCAAGUAAGCAAGAAAGGUAGUAUGACUGGAGGAUUUUAUGAUCACCGAAGAUCAAGAUUAAGGUUUAUGAAUAUCAUUACGCAGAAUAAAGGCACUAUUCGCAUUAGAGAGGAGGAAUUGGAGAAAGUUAGAUUUAAUCUACAGGAGAUAGACCAAAAGAUUAAUGAACUUGUGGCUGAGCAGCAGAAGAUUGAUGCCAAGCGUGCUCAUGACAAAUCUGAGAUAGAACAGCUUAAGCAAGAUAUUGCUAAUGCUAAUAAGCAGAAGCAGUUGAUUUCUAAAGCACUUACAAAAAAGGAGAAGUCUGUUGGGGAUGUCCAGAACCAGAUUGAACAGCUUAAGGCUAGUAUCGCAACAAAAAAUGCUGAGAUGGGCACUGAGCUAAUUGAUCAUUUAACACCAGAGGAAAAGAAACUCUUGUCAGAUUUGAACCCUGAAAUCAAAGACCUUAAAGAGAAGCUUGUUGCUUGCAAGACUGACCGUAUUGAGACUGAAGCAAGGAAAGCAGAACUGGAUACCAAUCUUACUACUAACCUUAGGAGAAGGAAACAAGAGCUGGAGGCUGUAAUAUCGGCCGUGGAUUCUGACUCUCUGGUUGGUGAGGCUGAAUCCAAGGGGCAGGAGCUUAGUGAUGCUAAAAUGUUGGUUGAUGACUUAACAGAGCAGCUUAGAAGAGUUGCUGAAAAUAUAAAUGAUCGAAUGAGGCAAAUUACAAAGAUUAAAGAUGAAUUGAAUAAAUUGAAGUCUUUGGAGGACGAAUAUGAAAAGAAACUUCAGGAAGAAGCAAAAGAAUUAGAGCAAUUGCUGAGUAAAAAAAAUACAUAUGCAGCUAAAGAAGAAGAGUAUGCCAAGAAAAUUAGGGAACUGGGACCAUUGACAUCAGAUGCUUUUGAGGCGUAUAGACGAAGGAAUAUAAAAGAUUUGCACAAAAUGCUGCACAGGUGCAAUGAGCAAUUGCAGCAGUUCAGUCAUGUAAACAAGAAAGCACUGGACCAGUAUAUAAAUUUUACAGAACAACGAGAAGAACUUCAGAAAAGACAGGCCGAACUUGAUGCAGGAGAUGAGAAAAUUAGGGAGCUGAUAUCAGUGCUAGAUCAGCGGAAGGACGAAUCUAUAGAACGCACUUUCAAAGGUGUUGCUAGGCAUUUUCGGGAAGUAUUUUCUGAACUUGUGCAGGGUGGCCAUGGUCAUCUGGUUAUGAUGAAAAAGAAGGAUGGUGAUCAUGAUGACGAUGAAGAUGAGGAUGGUCCUCGUGAAGCAAAUCCAGAGGGGAGAGUAGAAAAAUACAUUGGAGUGAAAGUGAAGGUCUCAUUUACUGGACAAGGGGAAACACAGUCCAUGAAACAGUUGUCUGGGGGUCAAAAAACUGUUGUUGCCCUUACUCUUAUCUUUGCCAUACAGCGAUGUGAUCCUGCUCCCUUUUAUCUAUUUGAUGAGAUUGAUGCAGCUCUGGACCCACAGUACAGAACUGCUGUUGGAAGUAUCCAUAUUUAUGUUUGCUACCAUAUUGUGUGAAUUGAUUGGUCCUGUGCAUUUCAUCCAUCUCUAUUGACUGCAUACCUCAUCGUUUUAUAUUUGUCCCCUUAAAUUGGAGGGGAGGGAAAAGAAGUGGUUAUUAGGACUGAAUGGAAUGCACUAUCAUUAGAUUCCGUUUCAUUCUAUCCUAUUUUACAAAUUAUUCUUAACUAUCUCGGUAGACAUGAUUCGUCUCCUAUAUUAUUUUGAAAAUCUAUUAUCAUAUCUUAAAAGAGUAUCCUUUAGGGUUAAUUUCCCUAUUUAGUAUAUCAUGUCAAGUAAGUAUAUGUAAGCCAUAUAAUGAUAUAUAGUAUCUAUUCUCUCCGUUUUGGUGGUUCUGGUGAGAAAAAGCUUUUGUUAUGGUUGUCUGUGUUUCUGGUGCCAUUGAAAUAUAAAAAGUUAAUUCAUGCUUGUGAUAUUCUUUCUGAAUGACACGUAGAUUUCAGGGUUUUAUCAUGUCUCUUUUGGGAUUCUUAUCUAUUGAAAUUUAAAAAAAUAAUCCAUGCUUGUGAUAUUCUUUCUGAACUGCAUAUAUAGAUUUCCUGUUAUAUCGUGUCCCUUUUGGGAUUCUUAACUAUCCGUAGAUAUGAUUCGUCGCUUGGCUGACGUAGCAAACA